Molecule: ribosomal RNA, 115 nt
Filed under: Desulfofarcimen acetoxidans DSM 771
Lineage: Bacteria; Bacillati; Bacillota; Clostridia; Eubacteriales; Peptococcaceae
Source: RNAcentral
UCGGGGCACGAGAACCCUUUCAGGGGCCGUUCCCUUACCGAACACGGAAGUCAAGUUUUUCAGCGCUGAUGGUACUUGGGGAUACCCCCUGGGAGAGUAAGACGUUGCCGGAAAC